Molecule: ribosomal RNA, 500 nt
Filed under: uncultured bacterium
Lineage: Bacteria
Description: partial 16S ribosomal RNA
Rfam family: Bacterial small subunit ribosomal RNA
Source: RNAcentral
AUUGAACGCUGGCGGCAUGCCUUACACAUGCAAGUCGAACGGCAGCACGGGAGCGAUCCUGGUGGCGAGUGGCGAACGGGUGAGUAAUGUAUCGGAACGUGCCCAGUCGUGGGGGAUAACGUAGCGAAAGCUACGCUAAUACCGCAUACGAUCUAUGGAUGAAAGCGGGGGAUCGCAAGACCUCGCGCGAUUGGAGCGGCCGAUAUCAGAUUAGGUAGUUGGUGGGGUAAAGGCUCACCAAGCCGACGAACUGUAGCUGGUCUGAGAGGACGACCAGCCACACUGGGACUGAGACACGGCCCAGACUCCUACGGGAGGCAGCAGUGGGGAAUUUUGGACAAUGGGCGCAAGCCUGAUCCAGCAAUGCCGCGUGCAGGAUGAAGGCCUUCGGGUUGUAAACUGCUUUUGUACGGAACGAAACGGCGAGCUCUAAUACAGUUUGCUAAUGACGGUACCGUAAGGAUAAGCACCGGCUAACUACGUGCCAGCAGCCGCCGUAA